This is a long non-coding RNA of Chinchilla lanigera (long-tailed chinchilla), 1259 nucleotides long. RefSeq lists it as uncharacterized. The record is from RefSeq and is a predicted model, not a curated record. NCBI's taxonomy places the organism in Eukaryota, Metazoa, Chordata, Mammalia, Rodentia, Chinchillidae. The transcript is spliced from 3 exons.
CUUCCUCUCUCUGUUCCCACGCCCGCUUCACUUCAUGCCUCUGCCGUGAAGUACUGUGCCGCCACAGACACGAGAUAACGGCCAGGGAGCACUAGUUGUCUGGUGAUGAAAUUGGUCAGAAAUGUAACAUAAUGCCAACUCAGCUGGAGGACAGGAUCAUCUCUUCAAAUCCUAAUUCACUUGCAAAGUCGUGAGGAACCCAGAAGGAGCAAGUUCUACGGUCUGGAAAUUCCAAGAUGAAGACACAAGCAUGUUUGGGGUCUUGUCAGGGCCCAGUCUCCACUUCCAAGAUGGCACCUUGAAUGCUGCAGCCUCCACAUGGGAGGAACACUCUUCCUCAUGGGGUAGAAACCCCGAAGGGGACAAACCCACUCCUGAAAGCCUUUUCAUUUUGAUGGCAAUCCACUGAUGAGAGCCAGGCCUUGUGACCUAAACACUUCGUGUUAGGCACCACCCUCCAACACUGUUGUAUUGGUGGGGUUCCCAAUGCCUGAGUUUUGUUUGACAAACAUUCAAACCAGAGCAAGUAGUGUCCUCAGAUACACAAAGAGCUCAUGGUCCCUGUCUUAACGAGUUCUGUCACAUCAAAAGAUGCCUCUUCUGUUACAGUUUCUCAUUCUCUGUUCCACAACCCCAGCUUCAAAUGAUCCUUUCUUCCUUUGAACACUCAAAAUAAUAUACUGUGUUUCUCUCGUGGCACUGAUAUGAUACCUCUACUGCAGUUCUGACUAAUCUCAUACUGGUUUGCAUGGACUCAGAACCACAUCUUGUCAUCCAACUCCAACAGUGUUUAGUCCAGUGCCUUGCACAUAAUAGACCCUAAUAAAUAUUUUCAUAAUAAAGAGAUAGGACUAAAUCCUGCAUUAUCUACAUAUUGAACUCAUAUUGAAAGGGAAUUAAAAAUUUAAGUAAAGUCCCACCAAGAAUGCCCACCAAAACCAACUGGACAUGCCCAGGCAAGCCUGAUAACAGAACACUUCUUCCUUUGUAUAGCCCCUGUCUUUAUUGUCUUUGUGUAACUGAUGGCUUUGCAAUGUAACCUGAGACUGAUGAUGGUCUUGCAAUGUAAAUUGAGAUGUUAAACUCCCUUGGCAACCCAUGAUGUCACUGAACCCUCCAAUCAUAAUGCACCAAAUCUGCUGCUGUACCUCCCACUUACUCUCCCCUUAAAAGUACCAAAACCCUAUUGGUCAGGCUCUAACUCUUUGGGAGCGAUCCCAGUCAGGCCCACUGGUGUAAUAAAAUUGCCAUCUCCUAGA